GAUGAACGCUGGCGGCGUGCCUAAUACAUGCAAGUCGAGCGAACAGACGAGGAGCUUGCUCCUCUGACGUUAGCGGCGGACGGGUGAGUAACACGUGGAUAACCUACCUGUAAGACUGGGAUAACUUCGGGAAACCGGAGCUAAUACCGGAUAAUAUAUUGAACCGCAUGGUUCAAUAGUGAAAGACGGUUUUGCUGUCACUUAUAGAUGGAUCCGCGCUGCAUUAGCUAGUUGGUAAGGUAACGGCUUACCAAGGCAACGAUGCGUAGCCGACCUGAGAGGGUGAUCGGCCACACUGGAACUGAGACACGGUCCAGACUCCUACGGGAGGCAGCAGUAGGGAAUCUUCCGCAAUGGGCGAAAGCCUGACGGAGCAACGCCGCGUGAGUGAUGAAGGUCUUCGGAUCGUAAAACUCUGUUAUUAGGGAAGAACAAAUGUGUAAGUAACUAUGCACGUCUUGACGGUACCUAAUCAGAAAGCCACGGCUAACUACGUG
RNAcentral lists this ribosomal RNA (497 nucleotides) under uncultured bacterium. RNAcentral's name for it is "partial 16S ribosomal RNA". It matches the Rfam family "Bacterial small subunit ribosomal RNA", at positions 28 to 507 of the family's 1533-position model. The record is from RNAcentral.